CCUACAGGAAUUAAGGUAUUUAGAUCAUUAGCUACAUUAUAUGGAACUAAAUUCAAGUUCAAUCCACCAUUAUUAUGAGCUCUAGGAUUUAUUUUCCUAUUUACAAUUGGUGGAUUAACAGGAUUAGUAUUAGCAAAUUCAUCACUUGAUAUUGUAUUACAUGAUACAUAUUAUGUAGUAGCCCACUUUCAUUAUGUAUUAUCUAUAGGAGCAGUAUUUGCAAUUAUAGGAGGUGUCAUUCAAUGAUAUCCACUAUUUACAGGAUUAACUAUAAAUAAUACAUGAUUAAAAAUCCAAUUUACAAUUAUAUUCAUUGGAGUAAAUUUAACAUUCUUUCCUCAACACUUCCUAGGAUUAGCAGGAAUACCUCGACGAUACUCUGACUACCCAGACGCAUAUACAUCAUGAAACGUUGUAUCAAGAAUUGGGUCUACAAUUUCUAUUGUAAGAAUCAUUAUAUUCAUUGUAAUUAUAUGAGAAAGAAUGAUUACAAACCGAGCAAUUAUAUUUAGAGCUAACAUAAGAAGAUCAACAGAAUGACUACAAAAUAACCCUCCUGCAGAACAUAGUUACUCAGAAUUACCAUUAAUCUCUAGAUUCUAAUAUGGCAGAUUAGUGCAGUAGAUUUAAGCUCUACAAAUAAAGGUUUGACCUUUUAUUAGAAAAUAUUUAUUAAUGGCAACAUGAUCAAAUUUAUCUCUUCAAGAUGGAGCUUCACCAUUAAUGGAGCAAUUAUCAUUCUUUCAUGAUCAUACUAUGGUCGUAUUAUUAUUAAUUACAGUAAUUGUAGGUUAUGCCCUAAAUUAUAUAUUAUUUAUUGCCUAUACUAACCGUAAUAUACUUCAUGGACAUUUAAUUGAAACAAUCUGAACAGCUUUACCAGCAAUUACAUUAAUUUUUAUUGCCCUUCCAUCAUUACGACUAUUAUAUUUACUUGAUGAUUCAGUAGAUGCAAUAAUUACAAUUAAAACCAUUGGACGACAAUGAUAUUGAAGAUAUGAAUAUUCAGACUUCAUAGACGUAGAAUUUGACACUUAUAUAACACCAGAACAAGACCUAGAAAAUGAUGGAUUCCGACUACUAGAUGUAGAUAACCGAACAAUUCUACCAAUAAAUACAGAAGUACGAGUAUUAACAAGAGCAUCAGAUGUUCUACACUCAUGAGCAGUUCCUGCAUUAGGGGUUAAAAUUGAUGCAACGCCAGGUCGGUUAAAUCAAGGAACAUUCACAAUAAAUCGACCUGGAUUAUUCUUUGGACAAUGCUCAGAAAUCUGUGGAGCAAACCACAGAUUUAUACCAAUUGUAAUUGAAAGAACUUCAGUAAAUUUAUUUAUUAAGUGAUUAUCUAAGAUAAUUUAA
This is a long non-coding RNA of Schistocerca gregaria, 1359 nucleotides long. RefSeq lists it as uncharacterized. NCBI's taxonomy places the organism in Eukaryota, Metazoa, Arthropoda, Insecta, Orthoptera, Acrididae. The record is from RefSeq and is a predicted model, not a curated record. The transcript has 2 exons.